Carya illinoinensis is the source of this 3604-nucleotide RNA transcript. It is a transcript of the gene named vacuolar protein-sorting-associated protein 11 homolog, with no coding region annotated. The record is from RefSeq and is a predicted model, not a curated record. NCBI's taxonomy places the organism in Eukaryota, Viridiplantae, Streptophyta, Magnoliopsida, Fagales, Juglandaceae. The transcript has 6 exons.
GACUAGGAAGGAAGAGUAGGAAAUAUCGUUUUUUGUCCGUCUCCUCCGCUCCUCUCCUCGUCUUUUCUUUUCACAGAUAAUUGAUUUGAAUUAAUUGAUGUUCCUUUUCCCAAAACACAUCAAAAAAAUCUUUAACAUCAUCGGUUCUUCAAGAUGGCCAGAGCCACCGACCAACACCUCUCCCCCUAGAAUUUUCUGAUCGAUCCCAUCCACCCUCGAUAGAUAUUCAUAAUCCUCGGAUCUUCUCUCUCCUCACAAUGUACCAGUGGAGGAAAUUCGACUUCUUCGAGGAGAAAAACGCUGGCAAAUCCAACAGGGUACCGGAGGAGGUGAGCGCUAGAAUCGGUUGUUGCUCAAGCGGCCGAGGCAAGGUGGUCAUCGGCUGCGAUGACGGCACCGUCAGCCUCCUCGAUCGCGGCCUCAAUUUCAAUUACGCCUUCCAGGCUUUCUCUUCCUCCGUUCUAUUUCUCCAGCAGCUCAAGCAACGCAACUUUCUGGUAUCUGUUGGAGAAGAUGAACAAAUAUCCCUGCAGCAGUCAGCUAUCUGCCUUAAAGUUUUUGAUCUCGACAAGAUGCAGCCGGAGGGAUCAAGCACCACGAUCCCUGAUUGUAUUGGUAUAUUGCGAAUAUUCACUAAUCAGUUCCCUGAGGCAAAGAUUACAUCAUUUUUAGUACUAGAGGAAGCACCGCCAAUACUACUGAUAGCUAUUGGCUUAGAUAAUGGUUGCAUUUACUGCAUCAAAGGGGAUAUUGGACGUGAGCGUAUCUCCCGUUUCAAGCUUCAGGUUGAUAACCUCUCAGGCAAAAGCCAGUCUUCUAUAACUGGUCUAGGUUUCAGAGUGGAUGGUCAAGCCCUUCAACUGUUUGCUGUAACUCCAGCUUCAGUUAGCUUGUUUAGUCUGCAGGACCAACCACCGAGACGGCAAACUCUAGAUCAGAUUGGAUCCAGUGUCAACAGUGUUACAAUGAGCGACCGCUUGGAGUUGAUAAUUGGUCGACCUGAGGCCGUGUAUUUUUAUGAAAUUGAUGGACGUGGUCCGUGCUGGGCUUUUGAAGGAGAGAAGAAAUUUCUGGGAUGGUUUCGUGGAUACCUUUUAUGCGUUAUUGCAGACCAAAGAAAUGGCAAGAAUACAUUCAAUGUUUAUGACCUGAAGAACCGUUUGAUUGCCCAUAGUAUAGGGGUUAAAGAAGUUACUCACAUGCUUUGUGAAUGGGGUAACAUAAUCCUCAUAAUGUCUGACAAAUCAGCUUUGUGUAUUGGGGAGAAAGAUAUGGAAAGCAAGUUAGAUAUGCUGUUUAAAAAAAACCUAUAUACAGUAGCCAUAAAUCUUGUUCAAAGUCAACAGGCUGAUGCUGCUGCAACUGCAGAGGUGCUAAGAAAGUACGGGGACCAUUUAUAUAUUAAACAAGACUAUGAUGAGGCUAUGGCCCAGUAUAUCCACACUAUUGGUCAUCUUGAACCUUCGUAUGUCAUACAGAAGUUUUUAGAUGCACAAAGAAUCUACAACCUUACCAACUACUUGGAGAAAUUACAUGAGAAGGGGCUUGCUUCUAAAGAUCACACAACUCUUCUCUUGAAUUGUUACACGAAAUUGAAAGAUGUGGAAAAGCUAAAUAUAUUUAUUAAAAGUGAGGAUGGUGUCGGGGAACAUAAGUUUGAUGUGGAAACUGCAAUAAGGGUUUGCCGUGCUGCCAAUUAUCAUGAGCAUGCAAUGUAUGUCGCUAAGAAGGCAGGGAGGCAUGAAUUGUACUUAAAAAUCUUACUCGAAGAUCUUGGUAGAUAUGACGAAGCCUUGCAAUAUAUCUCAAGCCUUGAACCAAGUCAAGCAGGGGUGACAGUGAAGGAGUAUGGUAAGAUUCUCAUAAAGCACAAGCCAGUGGAGACAAUUGAGAUACUCAUGAGGCUUUGCACAGAGGAUAAAGAAUCAGUUAACCAAGGAGCCUCAAGUGAUGCAUACUUAUCUAUGUUGCCAUCUCCUGUUGAUUUUCUCAACAUUUUCAUACAUCACCCGCAGUCUCUUAUGGAUUUUCUUGAAAGAUAUACCGAUAAGGUGAAAGACUCACCUGCUCAAGUUGAAAUCCACAACACACUCUUGGAGUUGUAUUUGUCCAAUGACAUGAACUUUCCAUCAACCUUACAAGCAAACUAUAUUGAGGAUCUUAAUCUUGGAGUAACUGGGAUGUCAAGAGCUGAGUCCAAUGGGAAAUAUGUUGCUGAUCGCAAAGACUCAGCCAAGGAAAAGGACUGUCCGGAAAGGCGGGACAAGGGUCUACGCUUGCUUAAAAGUGCUUGGCCAUCUGAGCUUGAACAUCCACUAUAUGAUGUUGAUUUGGCUAUUAUUCUGUGUGAAAUGAAUGUAUUCAAUGAAGGGCUGCUGUAUUUAUAUGAAAAGAUGAAACUCUUUAAAGAGGUGAUUGCUUGCUAUAUGCAGGCACAUGAUCAUGAGGGAUUGAUUGGUUGCUGCAAAAGACUUGGGGAUUCAGGUAAAGGAGGGGACCCUUCUCUUUGGGCAGAUCUGCUGAAGUAUUUUGGUGAACUUGGAGAAGAUUGCUCCAAAGAAGUGAAGGAAGUUUUGACCUAUAUCGAAAGGGAUGACAUCUUGCCUCCUAUUAUUGUUCUUCAAAUGCUGUCCAGAAAUCCAUGCCUCACACUCUCUGUCAUCAAGGAUUAUAUUGCUCGAAAGCUUGAACAGGAAUCAAAGCUGAUCGAAGAGGACCGGCGAGCUAUUGAGAAGUAUCAGGAAGACACAUUGGCAAUGAGAAAAGAAGUUCAAGAUCUCAGGACAAAUGCCAGAAUAUUUCAGCUUAGCAAGUGUACUGCUUGCACUUUCACACUUGAUCUCCCUGCUGUACACUUUAUGUGUAUGCACUCAUUCCACCAGCGCUGCCUUGGUGAUAAUGAAAAAGAAUGUCCUGAAUGUGCUCCUGAAUAUAGAUCUGUCCUGGAAACAAAGAGAAGCUUGGAGCAGAAUUCUAAAGACCAGGAUCAAUUCUUCCAGCAAGUGAAGAGUUCAAAGGAUGGGUUUUCGGUGAUUGCUGAGUACUUUGGAAAAGGAAUCAUAAGCAAAACGACUAAUGGACCCAUCAGUGCUCCUAGAUCAGGCAGCAUUUCUUCCAGCAGUGGCCUCUGAGCAUUGUUGCUUGCUUGUUUCUCUGUCUCAAUAUUGGUAACAACAAUAUGUUGCAACACCCAAGGACUAAGGGCAGAAUUCUUACCAUUAGGCAAUAGUCAUGCAAGAUGGUGAAUCCUAUUUAAUUUACUUGCUGGGACUGGCAUCGUUCUCACAUUUGUCUUCAUUUCUGCCAGAAAUGAAUAAGGGUUUAAAUCUGUUGAUAUCCAUGGAUGAAGAAACAAAUUUGAAGCAAAAAAAGAGCAUGAUACUCAUGCAUUGAGGGUGGUAUUUGUUACCGAUUUUCCAAAUCUUUUUGCAACUGGGGUACUCUCUCCUGCUAAUUCUGCUGGCAUAGGUUUUGUAUUCAGUGCAGGCUAUCACACUUUGUUUUAUAAGAAACAUUUUCAAUUUCUGGCGGGUUAUUUUAAAGGAACUUGCAAGCUAUUAUUCUGCUUAAAGAAUGAGUGGCAAUCAAUUGUUCGUCUAUGGUA